GACGGAGGGCGCAAGCGUUGUUCGGAAUUACUGGGCGUAAAGCGCGCGCAGGCGGGAAGGUAAGUCUGGAGUGAAAUUCCGGGGCUCAACUCCGGAGCUGCUUUGGAUACUGUCUUUCUAGGGACCGGUAGAGGCCGGUGGAAUUCCCGGUGUAGCGGUGGAAUGCGUAGAGAUCGGGAAGAACACCCGUGGCGAAGGCGGCCGGCUGGGCCGGAUCCGACGCUGAGAAGCGAAAGCAUGGGGAGCGAACAGG
RNAcentral lists this ribosomal RNA (253 nucleotides) under uncultured bacterium. RNAcentral describes it as "partial 16S ribosomal RNA". It matches the Rfam family "Bacterial small subunit ribosomal RNA", at positions 524 to 776 of the family's 1533-position model. The record is from RNAcentral.